Non-coding RNA from Flavobacterium johnsoniae, 32 nucleotides. Lineage: Bacteria; Pseudomonadati; Bacteroidota; Flavobacteriia; Flavobacteriales; Flavobacteriaceae. The record is from Rfam.
AAUGCGGAAGCCGAAAAGCAAAAGAGUAGGCG